Molecule: ribosomal RNA, 442 nt
Filed under: uncultured bacterium
Lineage: Bacteria
Description: bacterial SSU rRNA
Rfam family: Bacterial small subunit ribosomal RNA
Source: RNAcentral
CAGGUCUUGACAUCCCGAUGCUAUUUCUAGAGAUAGAAAGUUACUUCGGUACAUCGGUGACAGGUGGUGCAUGGUUGUCGUCAGCUCGUGUCGUGGGAUGUUGGGUUAAGUCCCGCAACGAGCGCAACCCCUAUUGUUAGUUGCCAUCAUUCAGUUGGGCACUCUAGCGAGACUGCCGGUAAUAAACCGGAGGAAGGUGGGGAUGACGUCAAAUCAUCAUGCCCCUUAUGACCUGGGCUACACACGUGCUACAAUGGUUGGUACAACGAGUUGCGAGUCGGUGACGGCGAGCUAAUCUCUUAAAGCCAAUCUCAGUUCGGAUUGUAGGCUGCAACUCGCCUACAUGAAGUCGGAAUCGCUAGUAAUCGCGGAUCAGCACGCCGCGGUGAAUACGUUCCCGGGCCUUGUACACACCGCCGUCGACGCGGCCGAGUCGUGGAGG